RNAcentral lists this ribosomal RNA (1305 nucleotides) under Macrobrachium lanchesteri. Its description in RNAcentral is "partial 16S ribosomal RNA". The stretch from base 842 to 1235 matches the Rfam family "Bacterial large subunit ribosomal RNA", at positions 2049 to 2651 of the family's 2925-position model. Lineage: Eukaryota; Metazoa; Arthropoda; Malacostraca; Decapoda; Palaemonidae. The record is from RNAcentral.
UAGUUGUUUAUUAUUAAUUGAAUUUGUUUAUAGUUUAAUUAGAUAAAAAAUUAAUUAAUUUUGUUGCUUAGUAUUUUUUAGAAGUUUAGUUUGAAAUUAUAGUUAAUAAGUACAGUAAUGGAAAUAUUAUUAAAUUAAUUAAAAGUAGUAUUAAAUUUUCGUACCUUUUGUAUCAGGGGUAAACUAAGUUGACAUGUUAAUUAUGGAGUCCCGAAACAAGGUGAGCUAAAUUUUGUUGCUUUUUUACGUGGUAAAGUGAUUUGUAACGAAUCUUUAGUGGUGAUAUGUUAGGCGAUCUUUGUAUAUCUGGUUUUUCGUUAAAUGAAUUUAAUUUUGCAUUAAGUUAAAAUUAACUUGAUAGUUAUGGUAGGAGGAAUGAGCUUCUUAUUAUUUUUUUUGUAAAGUGUUUUAUUAGAUAUCAUUUGAAGUGGGCUUAAAAUCAGCCAUCUUAGUAUAACGUUAAAGUAAUAUUGAAUUUUUUUUAUAUUUAUAAAAUACUUGCUUUUAUUAGCGAAAAAUGUUAUUUAUUGUUUAUACAACAGUUAAAAUGUUUAUAUAAGUAGAAUUUUAAGUUGUUAUUAAUUUUGAAUUAUUAUUUAUUUUUUAAAAAUUUAUGGAGAGAAGUUAAAAAGGAACUCGGCAAAUUUUAUCCCCGCCUGUUUAUCAAAAACAUGUCUGUGUGAAUUAAUUAUAAAGUCUAGCCUGCCCACUGAUUUAUUUAAAGGGCCGCGGUAAUUUGACCGUGCGAAGGUAGCAUAAUCAGUAGUCUUUUAAUUGGAGGCUUGAAUGAAUGGUUGGACGAGGGAUAAACUGUCUCUUUUACGGUGUUUGAAUUUAACUUUUGAGUGAAAAGGCUCAAAUUGUUUAAUGGGACGAUAAGACCCUAUAAAACUUAAUAUAAUCUAGUUAAUACUUGCGAUUUAGGUAAAAAGGAGUUUUGUUUAGAUUAUAUUUCGUUGGGGAGAUGAAGAUAUAAUGUAUAACUGUCUAUUGAAUAAUAUAAUGCUAAUUAGAGUUUGAUCCUUCUUUGUGGAUUAAAAGAAUAAGUUACUUUAGGGAUAACAGCGUAAUUUUCUUUGAGAGUUCUUAUCGACAAGAGUAGUUGCGACCUCGAUGUUGAAUUAAAAUUUCAGCUAAGUGUAGCCGUUUAGCUAGUAGGUCUGUUCGACCUUUAAAAUUUUACAUGAUUUGAGUUCAAACCGGUGUGAGCCAGGUUGGUUUCUAUCUUUUAUUGGUUUAAAAAUGGCUUUAGUACGAAAGGAUUGAGCUUUUAAGAUAGUCUUUGAACAAGAUACACUUUAAUGG